UACGAAGGGUGCAAGCGUUACUCGGAAUUACUGGGCGUAAAGCGUGCGUAGGGUGGUUGUUUUAAGUCUGUUGUGAAAGCCCUGGGCUCAACCUGGGAAUUGCAGUGGAUACUGGGCGACUAGAGUGUGGUAGAGGGUAGUGGAAUUCCCGGUGUAGCAGUGAAAUGCGUAGAGAUCGGGAGGAACUCCAUGGCGAAGGCAGCUACCUGGC
RNAcentral lists this ribosomal RNA (211 nucleotides) under uncultured bacterium. RNAcentral's name for it is "partial 16S ribosomal RNA". It matches the Rfam family "Bacterial small subunit ribosomal RNA", at positions 524 to 733 of the family's 1533-position model. The record is from RNAcentral.